AUGCACCACCUUCUCAACAAGGCCACGUCACAAGGGUAUCUCCACCCUAUAGGUCGAAGAGCACCGACCAUCAUGGCGUCUUUAUACGCAGAUGAUGCUGCCAUCUUUGUCAGACCCACGAGAGAGGACGCCCAAUUUCUUGCUUCCUCCUUAGCCGCUUUCGAAGAAGUGGCUGGCAUGGUUACUAACUGUGCUAAAAGUAUGGUGGCUCCCAUUCGGUGUGAAAACAUAAAUCUGGACGACAUUCUGCAAGCCUUACCGAUGGUGCGCUCCGCUUUCCCGAUGCGAUACCUUGGUCUUUCGCUGUCGGUCAAGCGCCUCAAAAAUAUUCACUUUCAACCUCUCAUUGACAAGGUCGCUAGCAAGCUCGCCGCUUGGCAGGGAAGACACAUUGCCAGUGUUGGGCGUGUGGUUCUCGUUAAAGCGGUCCUCACGGCCAUCGCGAUUUAUCACCUCACGCCUCUCGACAUCCCCGUGGAGGUGCUAAACGCAAUUGACAGCCUUCGGCAUGCAUACCUUUGGGCCGGUAUGGACAAAGUUUCAGGAGGAAAAUGCAAGAUUAGUUGGGAUCUCGUCUACAAGCCUAAACAGUUUGGCAGACUAGGCGUGCUCAAUCUGGACAAAUUCGCUAAGGCCCUCCAUCUUCGAUGGCUAUGGUUUGAGUGGGUGGACAAAAGCAAGCCUCGGAUAGGCAUGUGA
RNAcentral lists this ribosomal RNA (699 nucleotides) under Triticum aestivum (bread wheat). Its description in RNAcentral is "partial small subunit ribosomal RNA". The record is from RNAcentral. Lineage: Eukaryota; Viridiplantae; Streptophyta; Magnoliopsida; Poales; Poaceae.